GUUUUAGUUGUUGCAGUUAAGCUCGUACUUGGAUUUCGGAAGGUCUUUAGUGGUCCGCCCCUUCGGGGAGCGGGUCACUGGCCUCCUAUGUCCUAACGGUCUCAUCCGCGAGGUGGGGAUCAACCGCUAGGAUCGUUUACUUUGAGGAAUUAGAGUGUUCAAAGCAGGCGUAACUCGCCUCCGAAUACGUUAGCAUGGGAUAAUGGAAUACGACUUCGGUCUUGUUUCGUUGGUUUCGCUUGGCUGAAGUAAUGAUUGAUAGGGACAGUUGGGGGCAUUAGUAUUUAGUUGUCAGAGGUGAAAUUCUAGGAUUUACUAAAGACUGACCAAUGCGAAAGCAUUUGCCAAGGAUGUUUUCAUUAAUCAAGAACGAAAGUAGGGGGAUCGAAGACGAUCAGAUACCGUCGUAGUCUCUACCGUAAACUAUGCCGACCAGGGAUCCGGAGAGUUUGCAUGGAUGACUCCCCGGGCACCUUGUGAGAAAUCAUAAGUGUUUGGGUUUUGGGGGGAGUAUGGUCGCAAGGCUGAAACUUAAAGGAAUUGACGGAAGGGCACCACCAGGAGUGGAACCUGCGGCUUAAUUUGACUCAACACGGGGAAACUUACGAGGUCAGGACACUGUGAGGAUUGACAGAUUGAAGCUCUCUUGAUCAGUGGGUGGUGGUGGCUGGCCGUGUAGUGGUGGAGGAUGUCUGUAUC
RNAcentral lists this ribosomal RNA (699 nucleotides) under Vermamoeba vermiformis. RNAcentral's name for it is "SSU rRNA". It matches the Rfam family "Eukaryotic small subunit ribosomal RNA", at positions 603 to 1317 of the family's 1831-position model. Lineage: Eukaryota; Tubulinea; Echinamoebida; Vermamoebidae. The record is from RNAcentral.